GGAAUUUUGGACAAUGGGGGCAACCCUGAUCCAGCCAUUCCGCGUGAGUGAAGAAGGCCUUCGGGUUGUAAAGCUCUUUCGCGAGGGAAGAAAACUUAUGAUCGAAUAAAUCAUGAGGUUGACGGUACCUUGAUAAGAAGCACCGGCUAACUACGUGCCAGCAGCCGCGGUAAUACGUAGGGUGCGAGCGUUAAUCGGAAUUACUGGGCGUAAAGCGUGCGCAGGCGGUUUUGUAAGUCGGAUGUGAAAUCCCCGGGCUCAACCUGGGAACUGCGUUCGAAACUGCAAGGCUAGAGUGUGUCAGAGGGGGGUAGAAUUCCACGUGUAGCAGUGAAAUGCGUAGAGAUGUGGAGGAAUACCAAUGGCGAAGGCAGCCCCCUGGGAUAACACUGACGCUCAUGCACGAAAGCGUGGGGAGCAAACAGGAUUAGAUACCCUGGUAGUCCACGCCCUAAACGAUGUCAACUAGUUGUUGGUAGAGUAAAAUCUAUGAGUAACGUAGCUAACGCGUGAAGUUGACCGCCUGGGGAGUACGGUCGCAAGAUUAAAACUCAAAUGAAUUGACGG
RNAcentral lists this ribosomal RNA (567 nucleotides) under uncultured bacterium. RNAcentral describes it as "bacterial SSU rRNA". It matches the Rfam family "Bacterial small subunit ribosomal RNA", at positions 358 to 916 of the family's 1533-position model. The record is from RNAcentral.